Molecule: ribosomal RNA, 450 nt
Filed under: uncultured bacterium
Lineage: Bacteria
Description: bacterial SSU rRNA
Rfam family: Bacterial small subunit ribosomal RNA
Source: RNAcentral
UACGGAAGGCAGCAGUGGGGAAUAUUGCACAAUGGGCGCAAGCCUGAUGCAGCCAUGCCGCGUGUAUGAAGAAGGCCUUCGGGUUGUAAAGUACUUUCAGUCGUGAGGAAGGUGUUAAGGUUAAUAACCUUAGCAAUUGACGUUAGCGACAGAAGAAGCACCGGCUAACUCCGUGCCAGCAGCCGCGGUAAUACGGAGGGUGCGAGCGUUAAUCGGAAUUACUGGGCGUAAAGGGCACGCAGGCGGUUAAUUAAGUUGGAUGUGAAAUCCCCGGGCUUAACCUGGGAAUGGCAUUCAAGACUGGUUAGCUAGAGUCUUGUAGAGGGGGUAGAAUUCCAUGUGUAGCGGUGAAAUGCGUAGAGAUGUGGAGGAAUACCGGUGGCGAAGGCGGCCCCUGGGACAAGACUGACGCUCAUGUGCGAAAGCUGGGGAGCAACAGGAUUAGAUACC